UGAAUAUCUCCCCUUUGAAGGGGACAUGACACUUCAUGACUGCCCCAUUUAGUCGCCUCUUACGACAGGCAAAGGGUACUGAGGUCCUAUUAUAUACAGGAUCCCCAUGGGAAUGGAGAAGAAGAUGAAAAUGUGAAAACUUAACGACGACGGCGCCGACAGACAACUGGCAAAUUUUGACCAGAAAAGCUCACUUCAGCCUUCGGCUCAGAUUUCAAGUCUUCCAACAGACGGUGUUUCAUGUAACUGAUGCUGUGUCCAAAAAUAUCUUUAGCUUGCAUGGGAUGACCCUCCUCAUCCACAAGAACAGUAUCACUGCGCAGAAUCUAGAGAAAUAUUCCCAAUCAUAUAACAAAGACGUCGGCGUUUUGUAAGUGGCAUGGGAAGGACCAACCAUGUUUGACCAAUGGAGACAACUGAUCCGAAGGGGAUAUUUUUCGAAUUCGUGAGUAAAAGACCACGCUAUUCCAGAGUAGGUCGUACCAAAGUCCAGAGCAGCCACGAGAAGAAUUUCGUCUGCUGUAGCUUUGUCCCCAGAUUUCGUAUGUUUGUCUGAGACGGCGCAUGCAGUAGAGUCGACCGUCUGGUCAGCCAUUUGUCCUUUAUCUGAACGUCACGAAGAAGGGUUGAAAUGGAGAUCAACAUGUACAUUGUAAAUGCAAUGAAUGAAAUCGUACUUAUCGUCAGAUCAUUAUUUUCUUUUAAAUCAGACAUUACACAUCUACUCAUUUGAUUAAUGAAAAUAAAUUUGUGCUGAGGAAAUUGAUACUGGAUAAAAUAGCUAGAUUGUCAAGAUGACACAGGAAAUACAGCACGGUAGGUAGUACAUGUACACAUCAUUAAACAGUAUAAUACUACUCUGUACUCAUUAUUAUACCUUAAUACUGUUGAGCAUACAGAUGAAGUUGUCGUAGAGACAAAUUAUGCUCCUUUUAAAACUUUAUGAAUCAAAGCACCUCGCUCCUCCAAAACGAACCAUUAUUUAACAUUCAAUACAUUUUACAUGUAUGGAAUUUUGUGUAAUUGUCAGAUACAUAUAUUUACAUUGUAGAGAAACUACAGAAAAUAAUAAUCAUAUGAGUCUUUCCUAGCAAAAAGGGCCCUUAAGUAUAUAUUAGUUCUAAAGUAUGAACUAUAGAUAACAUCCCUCAAAAUAUUAGAGUAAUGUUGAUUGUUGUUAAAAUAUUACAGUCAAUGAACGAUGACAACCAACUUGAGAUUGGUAAUCAUGGCCUUUGUCUUUUCAAGUAUGCAAAAAAAUGACGUCACAUUUUUUUUUUUCAUUAUGACGUUUUUUGGAAAACAUUCUUGGGUAAGAUAAGGGUCAUAACGACUGUACAGUUUUCUGCUGAUAAGACAUUAAUUAAUCUAUUUGAUCACGUGGUAAUUUCCAUAAACCCUACCACGUACUCAUAUUGACUUAUUAGCAUUGAUAUAAACUAGACAGUUGCAGGGGUUUCAAAGUCUUAUAUAAAGUCGGUGAAUUCUAUGGUCGUUAUAAUGAUCUUAUUUGCAAAUACAACAUGCCUUUCGGUCGAAUGCUGUCUGACAUGUUGUUAAGCCGUUCUUUACAAACUGGUUAUGAGUAUACGGAUUAUUCCGUCUAUCUGAUCAAGAUAUAGGGCUCACGGCGGGUGUGACGGGUCGACAGAGGAUGCUUACUCCUCCAAGACACCCAAGACACACUCUGAUAUCUCCAUGGGAUCACGUUUACCCUAGUCUCAAUUUUGUAUAAUUGGCAGGAUUAUUUUUUAGAUUUCUGUUUGUUAUCUUCACUUGUUUCAGAAAAAAUUAUUUAUAUUUACAUCAUUAUUGAUUUAUAAAAAUAUCCCUAAGCUUAUAAAUGAAAAGGUGAAGAUAGCGAACAGUGAUCAAUCUCAUACAUGUAACUUCUAUAAGGAAUGUUGGGCAAAAUACGGAUCCCUGGACACAUCAGAGGUAUCAUCAGGUGUCCUGCCGACCGGUGCGAUCAUUGGUAUCCUUUACUUUUCGACGUAGUCACCGCACACUGCACUCACUUCUCACACCUCCUUAACCAUGACUCCAAUACAUUAAUAUACCAUUUACUGUCCUCGGGGAUGAUACUGAAAACUGGGGAUUCGUCAACAUCACAAAAAGAUGCGACCUCUGUCACUGUAAUGCGUCUGGCUCAAACCAAUGUCAUUGAUACGGAAUCUCUUAGUUUCAUUACAUGCUAACAAUACUAACAAUUCAAAACUUGUGAAAUUUUGUAACAUUGUACCCCACGCCGUGAGCGCACUCCGCCACUUGUAAGAUCACAACACAAUUUUUUUUCCAUUUGAUAUUCAAGUGAAAAUAUUCAAAAUCCAUUUAUUUUUAGUUGGAAUUUCAUAACAAAUAUUUUGGUAUACAAUAUGUACAUUUCAAAACGUUUUAAAUGACAAAAAAGCGCCACUGUCCACAUUUGAACAACUCUCGUAUCAUUGGAAAUAAUAAAUAGAUGUUUUAUCGUAAUUUCCAUUGAUACUAGUAGAUAAGAAUGCGCAUGAAAGCCCCCGCCCGGCACCCCUAAUGAUAAGAUAUUUCGUAAUGUUAUCACAGACAAGACAACGGAAACAAGGACGUAUCCAAUAACACCAGAGUUAUGGCUCUUCCAGCAAGGCUAGCUAUCUCAAGCUUUGUAUUUCGUCGUGGAAUUACUCAGAACACGUUUGUAACUCAUGACACUAAAAAAAUUAUUUAAUUGCUCGUUUAAACACUUCUUAGUAAGUAUGAUUUCACCAUCGAAAGAGUUAUAAAAGCACUCAAUUAUUUUAUAUGAAUUUUUUUUUUGGAGAUUAUUCCAAGAAUGAUAAAAGAGGUUAUUGUUUGCAAAUAAGACAUUCUUGAGUCAGAAUUUCAAUGUGAUUUGGUGCAUGAUAUGAAUAUCUAAUAAAACAUGCCUUAAAGAUUGAAGUGUGAACGUUCUAAUUUUUGGCAAAAAAAUAUUUAUGAAAAUUGAAAACACUAUUUGUUAAUACUUUUUUAAAUCUACGGAUAAAAUCUUAAAAAAAAAAAACCAUGUCAGUUUAAAAGAUAUAUAUCGAAGAAAUUUAUUAUAAAAAGAAAUGAAAUGAAAUGACCAAAUUUUAGAUAUAAUCACUAUAUUCAAACUAGAGAAAAAAAGUACUGAUCCCUUUCAAAAUUGAUAGAAAUUACUAAAAUAAUCAUAUUGUUACUAAUUGCAGGCACUGUUCAUCAGGGAAUUAGUUUCCUUUAUAAAUUUGUUUAAUUUGUAAACUAUUUCACAUCAAGGGAAUGUAGAUUUCUGAUUACAAUGUUCUCUAUGACUACUUUUUUAUAAUUCCGAUCGGGCUUGGUUCAAAUUAGAAAAAUCGUAAUAUAUCUGAAUUUUAACCAUUUCAUUUCAAUUUUUUUUUAAAAUACAUUUUUUAUCUAAAACGUUCAAAGGUCUAUCCGAGUCGUUUAGGCAUGUUUUCUUAGAUAUUAAUAUUAUAUAUCAAAUCACAGCGAAAUUUGGACUCUAUAGUAUCUUAUUUGCAAACAAAGUACCUUUUUUGUCAUUCUGGGAUAAAUCACAAAAAAUUCAUAUAAAAUACUUGAGAGCUUGUAUCACUUUUUCGAUGGUGAAAUCAUACUUCAUAAGAGGUGUUUUAAUGAACCAUCAAAUAAAAAUUUAGUGUAAUGAGUUACCUCAAACAACUUGAAGGUAUUGGGAUUAUUCAAACCCCUUCAUCUUUCACCAUUGGUUUAAUCCUGUUAUAAUAAGCAUUAUCAGACUACAAGGAUUAUAGGUUUUUUUUAAUAGCAUGUGAUAAUUACAUGUACGUUAUCUAUUUUUCUAAUUAUAAUAGACAACCAUGUUGAUUUUUGGUAAGAUUGCAUCAUCUUAAUUUCUCGGUAUGAAAUCCUAUUAAAAUCAUAGUUGCAUAUUACACGUAUAAUUGCUACAUAAUUACAUGUAUUUACAAUUAUGUGCUAUUAAAAUUGGAUAUGAUUAACUUUUCAGUUCAACAAUAAUUAAAGUCACGCAUCUACCAAGACGUAAUACACUGCACAUCAUGACUUGUUGGAGAUGAAGGGCAAAGGUGGAUACAUGUAUCUGCAGUGCGCAUCAAUACAUACAAUGAAGAAAUUACACUUGAUGGAGCAGAAUUAAUUACAGAUAAAUAUGACUACAGUAGAAACGUACUACUCUUGCUUAUUUCUUUGAUGAUAGCAAGAUAAUUGGUACUCUGAAUCUUAUGAUAUUUUUUUUUAGAAUAGCCCAUAAAAUUGUUCCCUUUUGAACUGAGACUGCUAAAUAAAUGAUACAUGUAUGAAAAUCAGACUGUCAAAAUAUGUGUAACAAUCAUGUAACAGCAAGAUAUAUUUAUUGUUGUAAUAUGAAUCUCUUCAAUUUUAAUUAAUUUAAGUUGUUUGUAAGUAAAAUACGUCAUGAUCAUGUAGCCUGUGAAGCGCUUUGAAAUGUAGAGCAAUCUAAACGUUUAAAGUGCAGUGUAUGGCUCCCAUGUUUAACAAGGAAUAUGAUAAAUCCACUUUUAAAAAUUAAGAACUUCAAAUAUCAGCAAUACAAUUACAGAUCGAUAAUUGCUAUUUUCUAUAGAAUUUUACAUACAUUGCAACCCUAUCUCACCAAAUAUUUUACGGCUUCAAAUCGACAAUAACGUACAAGUAUAAUGCUAUGUACGUGUAAUUAUUUUCAUGCUUAUCAAAUGUCCCUUUUCCAAACUUUAAUUGAUGUGCUGCUGUCAUUGAUAUUAUUGUUUGUCAGGGAUAGCCUAGUUUUUUGUUUGUGUAUACCUUAUGUCAAUUGUAGGAUAACUAUGGAGCAAAGAAUGAACACUUCACAGAUGAAAUAAUUUUGACCUCAAUGUUAAUGGGGAUGUACAUGUACCAGUUCAAUGUCUGGGAUAUGUAAUAUACAGAUACAGUUUAUCGAAUUGAUUUUGAAGAAAAUUAUGAUACCAUGUAUUUCAUAUUAUAAAAAAUCAUCAACUUUAUAUACUUUGAGAAAAACAAUGAUUAUAAAAAAAAUUCUGGAAUAAUUUCAAACAAUGCAUGCAGGUUGAAAUCUACAAAUUUUUCAUUUAAUGUACAGUGUAUAUGUCCACUCCAGGGGGUCCGUAACUCCCCAGUUGAGGACUAAUGGGGUCUCUGAGGAGAUUGUGCCCUUCAUGAUUUGAAAAUGACACAAUUCCUGCCUUUAAAACUUACUAGAACACAAAUCAUAACGAUACUCACGUCGGUUUGUGGUUCGUUUGUCUACAUCCACCAAACCAGUCUUUCACGAGCUACCAUUGUUGUCAAAUCUUGCUAUGAUAUCGAUCCACUU
Molecule: long non-coding RNA, 5296 nt
Organism: Ostrea edulis (European flat oyster)
Lineage: Eukaryota; Metazoa; Mollusca; Bivalvia; Ostreida; Ostreidae
Exons: 3
Source: RefSeq, a predicted model, not a curated record